CACGUAGGGGGCGAGCGUUGUCCGGAAUUACUGGGCGUAAAGGGUGCGUAGGCGGUCCGUUAAGUCGGAUGUGAAAGACCCGGGCUCAACCCGGGAUGUGCAUCCGAGACUGGCGGACUUGAGUGCAGGAGAGGGAAGUGGAAUUUCUAGUGUAGCGGUGGAAUGCGUAGAUAUUAGGAAGAACACCAGUGGCGAAGGCGGCUUUCUGGACUGUAACUGACGCUGAGGCACGAAAGCGUGGGGAGCAAACAGG
RNAcentral lists this ribosomal RNA (253 nucleotides) under uncultured bacterium. Its description in RNAcentral is "partial 16S ribosomal RNA". It matches the Rfam family "Bacterial small subunit ribosomal RNA", at positions 524 to 776 of the family's 1533-position model. The record is from RNAcentral.